GACGAACGCUGGCGGCGUGCUUAACACAUGCAAGUCGAACGGGAUUUAGUAAACAGAAACCUCGGUGGAAGAUUACUAAUGAGAGUGGCGAACGGGUGAGUAACGCGUGAGCAACCUGCCUAUGACAGUGGGAUAGCCUCGGGAAACCGGGAUUAAUACCGCAUAAAAUCGUAGAAACACAUGUUUUAACGGUCAAAGAUUUAUCGGCAUAGAUGGGCUCGCGUCUGAUUAGCUAGUUGGUGAGAUAACAGCCCACCAAGGCGACGAUCAGUAGCCGGUCUGAGAGGAUGAACGGCCACAUUGGAACUGAGACACGGUCCAAACUCCUACGGGAGGCAGCAGUGGGGAAUAUUGCACAAUGGGGGAAACCCUGAUGCAGCGACGCCGCGUGAACGAAGAAGGUAUUCGUAUCGUAAAGUUCUGUCCUAUGGGAAGAUAAUGACAGUACCAUAGAAGAAAGCUCCGGCUAAAUACGUG
RNAcentral lists this ribosomal RNA (477 nucleotides) under uncultured bacterium. RNAcentral describes it as "partial 16S ribosomal RNA". It matches the Rfam family "Bacterial small subunit ribosomal RNA", at positions 28 to 507 of the family's 1533-position model. The record is from RNAcentral.